RNAcentral lists this ribosomal RNA (252 nucleotides) under uncultured bacterium. RNAcentral describes it as "partial 16S ribosomal RNA". It matches the Rfam family "Bacterial small subunit ribosomal RNA", at positions 524 to 776 of the family's 1533-position model. The record is from RNAcentral.
UACGUAGGUCCCGAGCGUUGUCCGGGUUUAUUGGGUUUAAAGGGUGCGUAGGCGGACGCUUAAGUCAGCGGUAAAAUUGCGGGGCUCAACCUCGUCGAGCCGUUGAAACUGGGUGCCUUGAGUGGGCGAGAAGUACGCGGAAUGCGUGGUGUAGCGGUGAAAUGCAUAGAUAUCACGCAGAACUCCGAUUGCGAAGGCAGCGUACCGGCGCCCAACUGACGCUGAAGCACGAAAGCGUGGGGAGCAAACAGG